CCAGGAAGCAACAUUUCCACAUUAAUACACAACAGUGUCCCAAAAGCAGCCAGCCUCUUAACUGUGUCUCAGUUUAACGGAAAUGAAUACUGAAGUCAGGAUUCCCUUAAGGAUAAGGAAGGUACUAUUAUUCUGACAAAUUAUUAACUUACACACUAUUUGCUGGUUUUAAUUUAUCAUCUUGAAAGGUCAUUCUGGAAGACUGAGUUACAUUCCUUCUUCCAGAAAAAACAUCCUUUGCACUUUUGGAAACCCAUGUUAUCUCCCUGUUUUUGUGCUUCUUCCAGCAGCAGAGUAAUAAUAAUCUUUCUUUUUACCUAUUAAUUGCCUAACUUACUAGGCUACAGAAUCUAUUCUGUGUUGUUUUGAGUUCUCUGCCACAGAUUUCUUAGGUGAUCCCAGCCAAGCCACUCGGCCCAUCUGUGUUCUCUAUCUGUUGAUGCCAAGGGCAAAGAGGUGGUCACAUUUAAUGUUGCUGGUUGCAAAAAAGUUGUUUGUGGAGGAAGAAUUAAGACCCUUUUCUCCCAGUGGUAACAGCAGUUUGAAAGAAAGCCUGUUGUUGGUACCAGUUUCCUACUAUGCAGACAGCAUUCUUUAAAAAAAAGCCAGACCUUUCUUCAUCCUCCUCCAAUUCUGAGAGCAAGCUUAACCAACAAAGGAAUAUAUACAGAGCAGCUGUCUUAGUCUCCAGCAGAAGCAGGACUGCCAGCAUUCUUCUUGACGUUCACGUAAGCCUUCUUGAUGCAACAGUCAAGACUUUUCAGGAAAAGACUGCAGUGUUGUCCUGAGAAGCUAAUCCUUGCUGUGUGUUCCAUGCACACGAGAAAAAAAAAUAAUUCAAGACCCUCACAAAUUAUUAUCUAAAUUAACAUAUAGUUUAAAAAUGACAGUUCGAAACGUAAGCAGUGUGCUUUCUCUCUCAACUCAUGAUUCAGACGCUCAUCCUUUUUACUAAUGUCAAUCCAAUCUCUCCCUGCAUACAUACAGGAAAAGAGAAGUACUGGGGAUUUACAUCAAGGGACUUCACAGAUCCAAAUGCCUGGAAAUACUAAAAGAGAGCACAUAGCUAAUAGUAAUUUACUGAAUCCCCGUGCAAUACAAUGUUCAGUCUAAACCAGAGAUGUUAACCUGCAUGAAAAAGGGUCGGGAACUUCUCCUGAAUUAUUCUACCCAACACCCUCUCUUCCUAAAUUCAGACACCUGAUAAUUUUUUCAAACCUUUUCCUUUUCACUCAAAAGCUGUGGCUCAUCUGGGAGUUCCUGUUACAGAACAGACUCCCUCUAAAAUCCGAUUAAGCAUAUUUGUGUGGAAAAACCCUGGAAACGCAUGAAGGAUCUCAAAGAGACAAGCAGAUCUCACACAUCCAACCUAACAAAGAAAAGCGUGUGUAAAUUUCAAACAAUACAAAAAUGAAACAUUUUUAAAGAACUUCUACUGCAAUUUAAAUAACUUUGGAGUACCACAGUUUUACAUCAUUCUGCUAUAGCAUUUAUAUUUAUUACUUGAAAGUGACUGGAGGAACAUAUCAUUAAAAAGACUGAAAGCAGAAUGUAAAAAACAAAAAACCC
This is a non-coding RNA of Phalacrocorax carbo (great cormorant), 1569 nucleotides long. The record is from RefSeq and is a predicted model, not a curated record. Lineage: Eukaryota; Metazoa; Chordata; Aves; Suliformes; Phalacrocoracidae.